RNAcentral lists this ribosomal RNA (468 nucleotides) under uncultured bacterium. RNAcentral describes it as "partial 16S ribosomal RNA". It matches the Rfam family "Bacterial small subunit ribosomal RNA", at positions 28 to 507 of the family's 1533-position model. The record is from RNAcentral.
GACGAACGCUGGCGGCGUGCUUAACACAUGCAAGUCGAACGCAAAGGCCCUGCAUUUGUGGGGUGCUCGAGUGGCGAACAGGUGAGUGUCACGUGAGUAACCUGCCCUUUACUUUGGGAUAACUUCAUUAAACUGGGGCUAAUACCGCGUAUGAGCUCCUUCUGCAUGGUGGGUGUUUUAAAGUUGCGGCGGUUGGGUAUGGACUCGAGGCUUAUCAUUUUGUUGGUGGGGUAGUGGCGUACCAAGUCUUUGACGGGUUGCCGGACUGAGAGGGUGACCGGGCACAUUGGGACUGAGAAACGGCCCAGACUGAUACGGGAGGCAGCAGUGGAGAAUAUUGCAAAAAGGGCGGAAGGAGGAUGGAGGAAUGCCGCGUGCGGGAUGACGGUCUUCAGGGUGGAAACCGCUUUAGACUGUGAAGAAGAGUGAGUGACGGUAAUGGGUAAAGAAGCAACGGCUAACUACGUG